This 465-nucleotide ribosomal RNA is filed under the name Vreelandella stevensii. RNAcentral describes it as "partial 16S ribosomal RNA". It matches the Rfam family "Bacterial small subunit ribosomal RNA", at positions 338 to 795 of the family's 1533-position model. Lineage: Bacteria; Pseudomonadati; Pseudomonadota; Gammaproteobacteria; Oceanospirillales; Halomonadaceae. The record is from RNAcentral.
CCUACGGGGGGCAGCAGUGGGGAAUAUUGGACAAUGGGCGAAAGCCUGAUCCAGCCAUGCCGCGUGUGUGAAGAAGGCCUUCGGGUUGUAAAGCACUUUCAGUGGGGAAGAAAGCCUUGGGGCUAAUACCCUCGAGGAAGGACAUCACCCACAGAAGAAGCACCGGCUAACUCCGUGCCAGCAGCCGCGGUAAUACGGAGGGUGCGAGCGUUAAUCGGAAUUACUGGGCGUAAAGCGCGCGUAGGCGGUCUGAUAAGCCGGUUGUGAAAGCCCCGGACUCAACCUGGGAACGGCAUCCGGAACUGUCAGGCUAGAGUGCAGGAGAGGAAGGUAGAAUUCCCGGUGUAGCGGUGAAAUGCGUAGAGAUCGGGAGGAAUACCAGUGGCGAAGGCGGCCUUCUGGACUGACACUGACGCUGAGGUGCGAAAGCGUGGGUAGCAAACAGGAUUAGAUACCCGGGUAGUC